This 129-nucleotide small RNA is filed under the name Morganella psychrotolerans. RNAcentral describes it as "EFASI RNA". It matches the Rfam family "EFASI RNA". The record is from RNAcentral. Lineage: Bacteria; Pseudomonadati; Pseudomonadota; Gammaproteobacteria; Enterobacterales; Morganellaceae.
GAACCGAUACCGGGGACGGGCUGCCAGGCCCGUGGGGAUAACCUGUUAACGCAGGCGGCUGCACAGAGUGCAAAACCGACGCCCCGUAAUACCUCAACCUCUGCCCGCUCCGGCGCACAGGUAUCGUUC